AUUGAACGCUGGCGGCAUGCUUUACACAUGCAAGUCGAACGGCAGCGCGGGCUAUGGCCUGGAGGCGAAUGGCGAACGGGUGAGUAAUACAUCGGAAGGGGCCCAGUAGUGGGGGAUAGCUCGGCGAAAGCCGGAGUAAGACCGCAUACGAUAUGAAGGUGGAAGAGGGGGAUCUUCUGACAACGAGCUAAUUGAAUGGCCGAUGGCUGAUUAGGCAGUUGGUGGGGUAAAGGCCUACCAAGGCGCUGAACUGUAGCUGGUCUGAGAGGACGACCGGCAACAUUGGAAUGGGACCACGCCCCAGAUCCCUCGGGGGGGCACAGUUGGGGAUUUUUGGCCAUGGGGCGAAGUCUUGCUCCAGCAAUGCGGCGUGUUGGAUGAAGUCUUUCGGGUUGUAAAGCACGUUUGGCGGGAACGAAAAUGACUGUGCCAAUACCACGGUUCGAUGACGGUACCCGCAGAGUAAGCACCGGCUAACUACGUG
This 484-nucleotide ribosomal RNA is filed under the name uncultured bacterium. RNAcentral describes it as "partial 16S ribosomal RNA". It matches the Rfam family "Bacterial small subunit ribosomal RNA", at positions 30 to 507 of the family's 1533-position model. The record is from RNAcentral.